CGGGACGCCCGUGGGUCGCUCCGGACGAGUGGUGGGCGUACCCGGUCAGGCCAAGACGCCCCGCG
RNAcentral lists this non-coding RNA (65 nucleotides) under Micromonospora sp. Lineage: Bacteria; Bacillati; Actinomycetota; Actinomycetes; Micromonosporales; Micromonosporaceae. The record is from RNAcentral.